Molecule: small RNA, 67 nt
Filed under: Bacillus sp. SJS
Lineage: Bacteria; Bacillati; Bacillota; Bacilli; Caryophanales; Bacillaceae
Description: Bacillaceae-1 RNA
Rfam family: Bacillaceae-1 RNA
Source: Rfam by way of RNAcentral
AAGGGAUGAAGAUCUGCUAAGUGCGCGACGUCCUUCCGCAGCGCAGAACUGACCCGCAUCCUGCGGG